RNAcentral lists this ribosomal RNA (788 nucleotides) under uncultured archaeon. Its description in RNAcentral is "bacterial SSU rRNA". It matches the Rfam family "Archaeal small subunit ribosomal RNA", at positions 1 to 770 of the family's 1478-position model. The record is from RNAcentral.
UUCCGGUUGAUCCCGCCGGACCCCACUGCUAUCGAGAUGGGACUAAGGUAUGCUAGUCGAACGACCAGAACUAUGUCUGGAAGUGGCACACUGCUCAGUAACACGUAGCUAACCUACCCUUAGGACGUGGAUACCCCCGAGAAAUUGGGGUUAAUCCGCGAUAGAUGUAAUGUCCUGGAAUGGUAUUACGUCUAAAGGUAUUUCAUACAUGUUUGAAAUAUGCCUAAGGAUGGGGCUGCGGCCGAUCAGGCUGUUGGUGAGGUAAUGGCUCACCAAACCUUUGACCGGUACGGGCCAUGAGAGUGGUAGCCCGGAGAUGGACACUGAGACAAGGGUCCAGGCCCUACGGGGCGCAGCAGGCGCGAAACCUCCUCAAUGCACUAACGUGCGAAGGGGUUACCUCGAGUGCUAUCUGAUGAAGGUGGCUUUUCCAUGGUCUAAAAAGCCUAGGGAAUAAGAGGGGGGCAAGACUGGUGUCAGCCGCCGCGGUAACACCAGCCCCUCGAGUGGUGGGGAUGAUUAUUUGGCCUAAAGCGUCCGUAGCCUGCCGGAUAAGUUUCCCGUUAAAUCCAACGUCUCAAGCGUUGGAAUGCGGGAAAUACUGUCUGGCUAGAGAGUGGGAGAGGUCAGCGGUAUUCUGGGGGUAGGGGCGAAAUCCUUUGAUCCCCGGAGGACCACCAGUGGCGAAGGCUGCUGACUAGAACACGUCUGACGGUCAGGGACGAAAGCUGGGGUAGCGAACCGGAUUAGAUACCCGGGCAGUCCCAGCUGUAAACGAUGCAUGCUAG